UUUACCCUGCCAUGUCCGUGUAAAGGCAACUAAGUCCUUGAACCGUAAGUAAUAAAUAAGGGGCCAAAGCUCGCGGGGUGGCCGACAUGCCGGUGGCCAUUGCGCCCGGCCGGAAGUCGAAAGCCUCGGAGCCAGCCCACAAGUUGCUGUGGUGUUCAAAGGAAAAGUUACCACACGGCAUAUCGGCGGGGUAAUU
RNAcentral lists this non-coding RNA (196 nucleotides) under Limisphaerales bacterium. RNAcentral's name for it is "Verrucomicrobia subdivision 3 bacterium (hot springs metagenome) 6S RNA". It matches the Rfam family "6S / SsrS RNA". From Rfam's summary of the family: E. coli 6S RNA was the first non coding RNA to be sequenced, but its function was unknown until recently. It consists of 184 nucleotides that fold into an extended hairpin structure with a large single-stranded internal bulge. The record is from RNAcentral. Lineage: Bacteria; Pseudomonadati; Verrucomicrobiota; Verrucomicrobiia; Limisphaerales.